This is a long non-coding RNA of Harpia harpyja (harpy eagle), 285 nucleotides long. RefSeq lists it as uncharacterized. The record is from RefSeq and is a predicted model, not a curated record. The transcript has 3 exons. Lineage: Eukaryota; Metazoa; Chordata; Aves; Accipitriformes; Accipitridae.
CAGGCCAGCCUGGGAGGAGGACAGGGCUCCCCGGGAGAGCAGCUCUCCCCCAGAGCUCUACAGGGUGUCCACGGUCCAGCCGCUGCAGACUGAUGGCAGCCAGUUAUCUGCCUAUGAAGAGGAAGAGGAAACCAUGCACUGCAUCCAGGCUUUCCUCACGAGCACCGAGAAGGACGAGACCCAGAAGAUGCGUUUUCUCCAGAGCAUCCGCAUGAUCUGCAGAGCCACCAGGCACAAGGGCUCGUCACAGGGCCUGGAUAUCUUCUGCCACGGAGAUGAGCUGGC